This 440-nucleotide ribosomal RNA is filed under the name uncultured bacterium. Its description in RNAcentral is "partial 16S ribosomal RNA". It matches the Rfam family "Bacterial small subunit ribosomal RNA", at positions 339 to 795 of the family's 1533-position model. The record is from RNAcentral.
CUACGGGUGGCUGCAGUGGGGGAUAUUGCACAAUGGGCGAAAGCCUGAUGCAGCAACGCCGCGUGAAGGAAGACGGUUUUCGGAUUGUAAACUUCUAUCAGCUGGGAAGAAAAUGACGGUACCAGACUAAGAAGCCCCGGCUAACUAUGUGCCAGACAGCCGCGGUAAUACAUAGGGGGCAAGCGUUAUCCGGAAUUACUGGGUGUAAAGGGUACGUAGGCGGCUGAUCAAGUCAGAUGUGAAAGCCCGGAGCUCAACUCCGGGAUUGCAUUUGAAACUGGUCGGCUAGAGUGCAGGAGAGGAAAGUGGAAUUCCUAGUGUAGCGGUGAAAUGCGUAGAUAUUAGGAAGAACACCAGUGGCGAAGGCGGCUUUCUGGACUGUAACUGACGCUGAGGUACGAAAGCGUGGGGAGCGAACAGGAUUAGAUACCCGGGUAGUC